RNAcentral lists this transfer RNA (149 nucleotides) under Clostridia bacterium. RNAcentral describes it as "tRNA-Val". Lineage: Bacteria; Bacillati; Bacillota; Clostridia. The record is from RNAcentral.
GCAGGGUUGAGGUCAGCGGUUAAAUUACCUUGGGCAUAGGUGAAAAAACAAGUCUUUAUGUUGACCCAUAAAGUACCUCCUGAAAAAAUUAACGCGAACAUUAUAUUAACACCUUAACCGUGGCGGUUCAAUUCCGCCGCCCUGCACCA